GGAUGUGGGAGGUGGGUGUGACUCUAAAGGGACAGCAUGAGGGACGUCUUUGUGGUGAUGGCACACUUCUUGAUUGGGCUGGUGGUUACAUGAAUAUGCACAUGUGAUAAAAGACAUUUAACUGUAAACACACACAAAUAAGUGUAUGUAAAACUGUGAAAUCUAAAUAGAUUCGGUGGACUUCCAGUUUUGAUACUGUAUUAUAGUUAGUUAAGGUGUUAUCGUUGGGAGAAACUGACUUGAAAGGUACAUGGGACCUUUCUGUCCUAUUUUUGCAACUUUCUGUGAAUCUAUAAUUACUUCUAAAUAAAAAGGUUUUAAAAAUCAAUUUUAUUUCUGUUCAGCAGCAAAAAUCUCAAACUAAAAAAAUUUUUGACAUACUAUUUACAAUAGCUUUAAAAAAAUUAAAGUCUCAGGAAUAAUUCUAAUGAAAAACAUGCAAAUCCUCUACACAGAGAACUUUUUAAAGAUUUAAAAGAGCUGAACAAAUGAAGCGAUAUGCUAUGUUCAUUGAUGGAAGAAUGAAAAAGAUAUCAAUUCACCCCAAACUGAUCUAUGUGGAUUUAAUACAGACACAAUAAAAAUCUUGGCAGGGAGCCAGCGCUGAUGGCCUCGUGGUCAAAGCUCUGCACGCUUGGCUUCAGUGGCCCUGGUUCAGUUCCCAGGUGUGGAACCACACCACUUGUCUGUCCGUAGCCAUGUUGUGGCAGAGGAUCACAUAGAAGGACUAGAAGGACCUAUAACUAGAAUAUACAACUAUGUACUGGGGCUUUGGGGAGGAAAAAGAGGAAAAUUGGCAACAGAUGUUAGCUCAGAGUGAAUCUUUCCCAAGGAAAAAAAAAAUCUUGGCAGGUUUUUUCUCUUUCUUUAUUUUCACCUUUGAUGGAAGUAACAAACUGACUCUAAAAUGUAUAUUGAAGUACAGAUGGUAGGUAUAGUCAAAGUAGUGAUGGAAGAAGAAAAGUUGGAGUAUUUCCAGCCCAGAUAUCAAGACUUAUUGUAAAGUGACAGUGUGGUAUUAAUACAAGAAUAAGCAAAUAGACCAAAGAAGGAAAAUGAAGUUCAGAAAUAAACUCACACAUAUACGGACACGUUAAUUUAUGACAAAAGUCCAGAGUAGUGGGGAAGAGAGUUCUUUUCGGUAAAUAGAACUGGAUCGCUUUUAUAUUCAUAUAUGAAACAAUAAACAUCCACCCAUACCUCACACAGUACACAAAGCCAAUCUGAGAUGACUUGUUCCUGACACGAUUCUCACAUGUUGAGGUCUACAGGGUAACUAUUUGAGUUCAAAACUGAUUCAGCUUGACCUACGAAGCCUGACUUAUGGCCUAUCAAACACACAUUGUACAUCUGCUUAUCCAUUAAAGUAAAGAAUGCACUCUCUUAAGAUAAAAGCUCAUACUUCCCCUCCUAUGCCCUAUUGGUAACGUCCUAUUGGUAAGGCUGGAUUAGUCCCUUUCCUGACAUCAAGGUUAUGUUGACCUGCUAAUUUGCAACUGAACUCUGCUUUGAAAUUUUGAUGAAAAUGUAUCCUGGGUGUGUUAAAUGUAUGUUCUUUGUUCUAAAAAGAUAUAAAACUGUACUGAAACCCUGCUUCUCUGGAACACCUUCUAAGGCCUUCCUGGGUUAUAAUCCUCACUCUGGCUCAUAAGAAACUCACCCCAAUUCUGCGUCAACAUGUGAAAGCCAGCCGCGUGGAAAAGCAGAACACUGGGCCCUCCUCAGAGAAGAGAAUCUCAGCCCAUCAGCUGUGCAACUCUUCUCAAAAUCCAGGCUGAGGAAAAACCAUCUUAAGAAAGAUCAUUGAAAGCAACAUUUCCCAAACAGUGUUCCAGGGAGCACUCUUCUGCCCGAUGUCAAUAGGUCUUCAUGGAGGAAAGAAGUUCCACGGUUGACCAAAUGCACAUUUGCAUAUUGAAGGGUCUGAGAAGGAAAAUGUCAUCAGGACCAACCUGUUUAACUUGGUUCAAGCCAGCCUUUCCUUACGGUAUCUGACUCGAGAACUCUUCCUGGGGGUUUUUACCAGAAGCACACGUAGGAAAUCCACUUCUCUAUUUGUUACACAAUGCUGCUGGAAACAAUCAUCUCUUGUGAUACUUAUUGUCCAAAAUGCUCCAAAAACAAGUGUCCUUCUGACUUUGUGUGGAGGAGUGGUGGGAAGCGGGGCUUUGCUCUUUCUGAUGAGCAGAGCCGUGUAACUUGUUGUUCCCCUUUUGGCUCAAGGAAACUCUGAGUCAAACUUGAUAUUCAGUCUUAGUAAAGAUAUCUUUCUCUGUGAUUAGCAUAUUUUCUUCCUUCCUCUUUCCAUAUUCUUAUUGUUUUGAGUUUAUUUAACCCUCUGUUACUAUUAUCUUUUGGCAAAACCUUUCAAAAACAUUUGAGGAACAGUCAAGGUGGAAAUGUGUUUCAGAGGCAAAACGUGGCCAAGAAAACCUGCCCAGACUGUGACACUGAUGUUGAUAUGUGAUCAUGUAAUAUCCAUGAUCACACAGAUUCAACAACACAGUCAUAGUCUAAUCACACAAUGUGACAAGUUCCCCAGAUAUCAAACCAUUUUUAUUUUCGAUUUCAAUGAGUUUCAAUUGUAAGAAAAUAUUUGGCUCUACAAUUAUCACUACCACGUUCUUGUGCCCUGGUGAAGUAUUUGAUGGCAAAAAGGAAAUCCUUAGGGAAACUAUAGUUUUACGUUUCCAGUUCAUGGGGGAAUGUGGACCACAUUUAACUAACAGAGUAGUUUAGACGUGUUUUAUUUCAAAAUGCAAAUUCAUCAGAGGAGGAGGGGCUGUUCCCUGGGCUUCUCUUGAACACAUUACCACAUACGGCAUGCACACCGAGAUGUUCUUAGGAAAUUUCUUGAGUUGGCUUUUUGAAGUGACAGUGCACAGUCCUGGCUAGUGGGGGAAGGGAAGCAAGGCGUGAAGAAGAGGACUCGUGGCUGAGGCCUUCGUGACAAACAUCUGCGGUCCUUGUCUUAGACUUUAUCUUGAGUUCAACAGACCACAUUCCCCAGGACACUGACUCAUGGGCUGUGGGGCAGAGGAAACUUAAACAUCCGGGAAUAUGAGACUAGUCAAAUAGCUUACAGUGGAACACUACCAAACCAAUAAAACUGAAUUACAUAAAAAUAUUUAACGGCAGCUUUGACGCAGCUUUGAGCACUCGUGAAUUUGGAACAAGAUAUAUUUAAUCUUUCGAUUUAGUCAACAUUUGCCAUCCUCAGUCAGAGACACAGAAACAGAAAAGUUAAAAUUUAUUACUCUGAAUUCAAAAAACUAAAGUAUGAGAGAAAUUUAAAUAAAUGAUGCUAUUUUGUAAAUCUGUAGAUUUCUACUUCUGCCUUUAAAAGAGCUAAAACAGCACGAAGACUUUGGGACACGCUGAGUUAUUUAUUGAACACUGCAGGCUACUAACAGUGUACACGGGGUGUUUCAAAUUUUGUAAAGCAUAACAUAUGUCUAUAUAUUCAUAGAAAAA
This is a long non-coding RNA of Equus caballus (horse), 3474 nucleotides long. Lineage: Eukaryota; Metazoa; Chordata; Mammalia; Perissodactyla; Equidae. The record is from Ensembl.